RNAcentral lists this transfer RNA (85 nucleotides) under Sphingomonadales bacterium. RNAcentral describes it as "tRNA-Leu". It matches the Rfam family "tRNA". From Rfam's summary of the family: Transfer RNA (tRNA) molecules are approximately 80 nucleotides in length. The record is from RNAcentral. Lineage: Bacteria; Pseudomonadati; Pseudomonadota; Alphaproteobacteria; Sphingomonadales.
GCGGACGUGGCGGAAUGGUAGACGCAGGGGACUUAAAAUCCCUUGGGCAUGGCCCGUGCGGGUUCGAGUCCCGCCGUCCGUACCA